Catharus ustulatus (Swainson's thrush) is the source of this 1641-nucleotide long non-coding RNA. RefSeq lists it as uncharacterized. The transcript is spliced from 2 exons. The record is from RefSeq and is a predicted model, not a curated record. NCBI's taxonomy places the organism in Eukaryota, Metazoa, Chordata, Aves, Passeriformes, Turdidae.
CUGCCCCUGGGUGAGUCUCACUGUGCUCCUGCUGCCCCUGGGUGAGUCUCACCGUGCUCAGCUGCUGCAGGGUGAGGUUUUGUGGCACACACUGCUCUCUUCCUGCACCCCUGCAGUAAUUCCAGGUGUGUACAGCCCUCCCUGUCCCCUUAACUCUGCAUUUCUCUCCUCCACAGAGCUUGUCCUGUUCAUCUGUGCAAACAUUUGUUUAGCUCAGCUCGUGGAGCAGUGGAAACCCAACAUUCUGUGCUCAGCAGCAGCUUCAGCCUGUGCAGGGUGUGCUCAGGACAGGUGGGGUGGGCAGGACCAUCCCUGUGUCCCCUCGAGGUGAGGCUGUGCUGGGAGCUGCCCCAGGGCUGUUCUCUGAGCUGCCCCAGCCAAAGCCCAGGACAGCCUCGGCCUCUGGAGCUGCCAGGGAGGUGCUGGAGGAGAUCUGGGGUUGGCAGGGAGGUUCUAGAGGUGAUCUGGGGUUGGCAGGGGGGUUCUGGAGGUGAUCUGGGGGUGGCAGGGAGGUUCUAGAGGUGAUCUGGGGUUGGGCUGUGCUGCUGGAGGUGAUCUAGGGUUGGCAGGGAGGUGAUCUGGGGUUGGCUGCUGGAGGUUCUAGAGGUGAUCUGGGUUUGGCAGGGAGGUUCUAGAAGUGAUCUGGGGUUGGCAGGAGCUGCUGGAGGUGAUCUGGGGUUGGCAGAGAGGUUGUGGAGGUGAUCUGGGGUUGGCAGAGAGGUGAUCUGGAUGUGGCAGGAGCUGCUGGAGCUGAUCUGGGGUUGGCAGGAGCUGCUGGAGGUGAUCUGGGGUUGGCAGGGAGCUGAUCUGGGGUUGGCAGGGAGGUGCUGGAGGUGAUCUGGGGUUGGGCUGUGCUGCUGGAAGUGACCUGGGGUUGGCAGGGAGGUGAUCUGGUGUUGGCAGGAGGUGCUGGAGGUGAUCUGGGGUUGGCAGGGAGGUUCUAGAAGUGAUCUGGGGUUGGCAGGAGCUGCUGGAGGUGAUCUGGGGUUGGCAGAGAGGUGAUCUGGGGUUGGCAGGGAGGUUCUAGAAGUGAUCUGGGGUUGGCAGGGAGCCCCAGCCCAGAGGGCAUCCCCAAAGCUGCUCUCUGGUUCUGCAGCUGUGCUGCACCAGCCCCUGGUUUGCUGUGCCCCAGGGAUGUGGAGCCCUGCCUGGAGCAGCCCCAAGCUGUUCCUGUAGCACUGGGCUCAUCCCAGGGGUCCCCCAGCCCAGUGCCCACUUCAGCAGGAGCUGCACAGCUCUUUAUUUAUUAUUGGUUAUUCCAGAAGUGUUAAACUCUAUGAUUUGCAUGAAAUCCUGUGGUUCACAGCUUUGCCAAUAUGGUCCAUUACUACUGCCUACAACUCGUGUACUUCUAUGCCUUUGAGAACAUUUUUAACUGUUAAAAUUGUUUUUGAAAUCAAUGUUAAGUUAAUUUUUAAUGGGGAAAUGGAUUCUGGUGUCAAAAAUGGUAUUUACUGUGAUGCUGAUGUUUUGUACCUGUCAUCCAGCUAAACAACCUGUAAAUAUCCUGAGUCAAGAGAAACACAAAUGCCAAUUAUUUAUUGUUCUGUGGAGUUACAUGUCGCAGAUGUGUAAGAACUUUAAAGGGAAUGUUGUAAAACAAGGUGGAAAAAAUAAAUUUUAUGCAACUUCUGUACUUCA